UUAGUCUGAGUUACCUUUUAUUAGUGUUAUACUGAUUUGAGCACAACUGCUCACAAGGAAAAGUUUGAUAAGCAUGAUGCAAAAAAAACCACCCUAAAGUCAUUUUCAGUCGCGUAAAAUGAUCAUGACAUUCUGAUUGUUUUUUUUUUUUUAGGUUAAAGAAAAAUAUGAAAAUAGAGUUGACAGUACAUUUAGGCACACUAUUAACACAUACUGUACACAGAUAUGCACAAUUUUCAUUAUCAUAGAUUCAUAUAUACUGGGGUUAAAAAAAGACAAGCCUUCCUGUAUGGAGAGGUGUGCAGAAAGUUAAAGGUGACAUCUCCUCCUCCAUCAUGGGGGACAACAUAUUCGCCUCCCAAUAAGAGAGGCUCCAGUCCAUGUCCUCCUACCUCAGCCAAUCGGAGUCCACCAGGGCUGCUCAGUGCAAGCAAAUCACAGCAGACGAGGGAGUUUCCAUCCAAUGACUGCAGCAGAAUGUGGCUACGUUCAGCCAAUGGGAGAGGGGCUCCCACAGUUGCUACGGUAAGUGCUAAUUAGCAGUGAUUCCAUUGGUCACAAGCCACACCUGUGAACCUGUUGGAUGGGUGGGUGGUGCACGCGCAAAGGUGGGGUGUCCUCCAGCAGAAAGUUCAUAAUAACAAAGCUCUCUUCACACUCAAUAUAACAGGCUUGAAUGCAUAAAACACCGCUUAUGAGUUAAAAAGAAGCAGUUGUUCGGGGCGCCUCUGAACUAGCUCUAGCCCAACAAGCUAAUCAUCGGGCCAGAAACAGCCCCCCCCCCCCCACCACUGCCGAAUCGAAACACAGAUUCUGCAAGAGUGGGCGGGGAAUAAGUGGAAAAUACCACCCCGCACACCCAAAAAAAAAAAAAAAAACAACAAAAACAAAACUCAGACUUAUAAAACAAGUCUGUUAAAUAAACAUUGUAUUUUUACAACAACGGAAUGUUAAGUUGUUGGGACAUGACAACAUUUGUGGGGAAACUUCUCUUGUGUUUUCUACCAUUAAAACAAUAUGAAUUACCAUUUGCAGUACACAAUGAUUCAAAAUGCACAUGCAAUAAAAAAAAAAUAUUGCACCAAUUUAAAGACAUUUUCUCAGGAUAAAAGUGAUUAGGGAUAUAUCUCCAUAUCUCUACCUUGAUUUCAUUGUAAUGUUCAGUCGUGUGAAGGAGAGCUACCGCGCGUCUCUUGGUCAGUUUAUACUGAAUAUAGAUUUAAGGCUGGUUCACUAGCUCGCACUGGCACAGUUUCUGACUGAAGAGGUUUGCAUCUCCGUGCCCCACACCCCCACACACAC
Long non-coding RNA from Amphiprion ocellaris (clown anemonefish), 1302 nucleotides. The record is from Ensembl. NCBI's taxonomy places the organism in Eukaryota, Metazoa, Chordata, Actinopteri, Pomacentridae.